Long non-coding RNA from Eriocheir sinensis (Chinese mitten crab), 7651 nucleotides. RefSeq lists it as uncharacterized. The record is from RefSeq and is a predicted model, not a curated record. Lineage: Eukaryota; Metazoa; Arthropoda; Malacostraca; Decapoda; Varunidae. The transcript is spliced from 2 exons.
AGAGAGAGAGAGAGAGACGCAAGAAACUGUACCCAAAAGAUAAAAGAAAAUAAAGAAAACGAAGAAAAAGAAGAGCUUACUGUCACCAUCUGAAGACUCCUCCUCCUCCUCCUCCUCUUCACUCUUUGUCCCCCUCCAUCUGCUUCUCUUCUUCCUUCAUCUCCUUCUUCCUCCCAUAUCAAAUUAUCACUGUUUUUCCUUUCCCUCUGUUCUUCUUCUUGUCCCUUCACUUAUAUCUGAUUAUCGAUAUUUUUCCUCUUUCUCCUCUUCCUAUUUAUUCUCCUCUCCUUCUAUUAUCCCUUCUCCUCUUCCUCCUACACGCUUUAUUCUACUCCUUCCCCUAUUAUCAGAUUAUUAGUUGUUCCCUUCUUCCUGCUCUUCCUCCUCCUCCUACUUUUCGUACUCCUUCCCCUCAUCUCAUAAUAUUACUACUGUUUGUCCCUCUCCUUCUGCUCUUCUUCCCUCUCUUCUUAAUUAACUGAUUAUAUUUUACACUCAUAUCAUCACUACUAAUUGUUCCACCACCGCUGUCUGCUCCUUCCUCCUCCUCCUCCUCGUCUUCAGCCUUCUAGCAGGGACAGCCACGUGACAUCACCCUUCCCCUCCGUCACAUACGCUGAACACACGAACCAGAUAAUAAGACUCCAUGCGGGUAAACAAUUCGGCCCCCAAGCACACAUCAGACAAGGCUUUCGUAGGAGUUCUGGGCAUUUUCAGGGGUACUUUUAUGGCCAUGGUGGUAGUUUGACCCUUCUUCUAUACCAUGAACCUAAAUCACACUCUCAUUAUAACCCGAUUGAUCAUCUUUUUGGCCUUUGGAAGUAGCUGACGUGGGAGGCGGAAGCGUCUGAGAAUACCGGUCUAAGAGUCUUCGAGGGUAAGCAUCCCCCAUCGACAAAGGCGCUGCGCAGUCGUCGUUUCCCGGGUCUGCGCAGCGGGCCGAGUUUGCAUAACGCGCAGGGGGCUCUGACGCACAACGAGACCCAGAUGCUGCUGGUGAUAAUAACGCGCUACCUGGUAAUUGUCCGCCGCGCUCACCUUGCGACAUGUAAACCUAGGCCCCGUGAAGAAGGAGGAGGAGCAGAAGAUAGAUGAUGAUGAUGUGUAUGAAGAAAGGAAGAGCAAACGCAAUAAAAGAGUUAGUGCGAAUGUUGAAAGAGACAAGAAAACUACAAUAUUAUGACGUACAGUGGAUAAAAAUAGGAAGAUGAGGAGGUUUAGUGUUGUUUGUAAACGUGGGAAAAGAAGAAAUAACGAAAAAAUGCGUCAGUGCGAAAGAGGAGAAACAAAAGGCUGCAGUAUGACAGAAUGGACAAAGGAAGGGAAAAAAAGGAAAAGGAGGAAGAAUGGGAGAGGGAUGUCAGCGGAAAGGAGACAAGAAAGGCGACUAUUACAGUAAUAUAAAGUGGAAUGAAGAAAUAAAAGGUGACAGCGGUGGACGGAGAAGAAGAGGAAGAAGAAAAAGAAGAAGAGGAACUAGAACAAAACGAAGAAGAAGAGGAAGAAGAAGAAGAGGAACUAGAACAAAACGAAGAAGAAGAGGAAGAAGAAGAGGAACUAGAACAAAACGAAGAAGAAGAGGAAGAAGAAGAAGAGGAACUAGAACAAGACGAAGAAGAAGAGGAACUAGAACAAGACGAAGAAGAGGAAGAAGAAAAAGAAGAAGAGGAACGAAGAAAACGAAGAAGAACAAGAACUAGAACAAGACGAAGAACAAGAAGAACUAGAACAAGACGAAGAAGAAGAGCAAAAAGAAGGAGAACAACUGGAAUAAGACGAAGACAAAGAAGAAGAACUGGGAUAUGACGAAGAAGAAGAAGAACUAUAAGAAGACGAAGAAGAAAAUGAAGAGCUACACCACCAUCACCACCACCAACACCACCACCAACAGCAAGAGCAAGAAGAAGAAGAAGAAGAAGAAGAGUAGGAGGAGGAGGAACACGUUGGAAGGCUGAAGUAAGUGUUGAAGGGGCACCAUUGCCGACAGACAGUUGCCUCACACUCCGCGUCGCUCUCUGUGUCUCCGCGUCUCGUUAUUCCGGUCCACAAUAAGCCAGAUCAAGGAUAACCCCCAAGGACUCCUGCCGCUGCCUAGACAACUUCAUGGACGAGGUCGAGAAGGAGGAGGAGGAGGAGGGGGAAGAAUGAGAAGCCGGUGUUUGUUGUGAGGUAGAGAAUAAACCAGAGUAGAGGAAAGAGGAGGAAAAGAUACAGUGGAAGAUGAACUAGAGGGAGGAUUUAGGGAAAGAGAAAAUGAAAAUAAAUGUAAAACCGGAGGAGGAUGAGGAAGGGGAUGAAAUAUGUAUUGUAAGGGAAGAGAGCGAGCACACGUAGAGCUGAGUGAGGAAGGAUUAGAGGUAGAGAAAUAGGAGUGGAGAAGGAAAGGGGGGAGAUAACAGCCUAUGAAGAAAAUGAAGGAAAAAACAGAAGGAAAAUGACAACGAGAACAAGACGGCAAUGAGAGUUGGAAAGAGGGAAGAAGGAAGGAAAGAAGUGAAGUGAAAGAAGGGAAGAAGGAAGGGAUAGAACAGAAGUAAGAUAAAGAAGGACAAACUGGCGAGGGGGAAAAAGGACGAAAGGAAGAAGAGAGAAAAGGAAAGGAAGAAGGAAGAUGGUGCUAUACAGGAAAGGAGAACAGAGGAAAAGGAAAUAAGUACAUGACGACGAAGCGAAGCGAGGGAAGGAAGGAAGGAAGGAAAAAAAGGAAGAGAAAAAGGAAAGCAAGGAAGGGAAUGAAGGGAACAGCAAGAUGGUAAGUAUACACUGUUAGUAAUCUUGUAUACUUUCGCCGGGUGGAAUUUCAAGCCGCCUCAGCUGUUGUCGCCGGCGGAGGCAAGAAGCAAGCUGCAUCCCUCGCGCCAGGACUCGUGAAGUUGGCGCAGCGGUAACCCGGCACUAAAAAUCGUAACCCUUUAUGGUGACUCAGGGGGGAAGGGGGGGAGGAAAGAGGAGUGGGAAGGGGAGGUAUGAAAGAGGAAAGAAGAGUGAGAAAGUAAGGAUUGGAGGAAAGAGGAGGUAAAGGAGUAGGAUGAGGAACGUAAGGAAAGCAGGAAGGCAAGAGGAAAAGGAAGGGGAGGUAAGGAGGAUAGGGAAUAGAGGAGUGGGAAAGGAGAGGUAGAGAAGGCAUGGAGGAAAAGAAGUGGAGAGAGGGGGUUAAGGAAGGCAGAGAGGAAAGAGGAGGAUAAAGAAGGGAGAUAAGACGUAGGAAAGGAAAGGAGAGAAAUAGUGAAGCGACGGGAACUACAUGAAGGGAAAUGAGGGGAAAGGAAAUGAAGGGAUAAAGAGAAGGGAGAGGAAGCAAUAUACGGGAAGAUAAAAGAAGGAAGAGAAGAAUAAAGAAGGGAUGUGGAGAAGAGCGAAAUAUACCGAAAAGAAAACGAAUGAAAACAGAAGAAAGAAGGGGAAAAAUAAGAAGGGGAGGAGAUUUUUAAGGGAAUAGAAGAAGAGGGGAGCAGAGAACCAGACGCCGCCCCUCAAGCCUUCAAUGUUUGGUCCCUUCGGCCCCUCAAGUUACCAACCCACAGACACGCUUUGGUUUGUAUUCGGUAUCGCUGUGUGGCUUUCUGAUUAUUAUUCUUGAGGUUCGUUUUUGUUUCCGACGUUCGUUUCUCCUCGCAUGACAAUAUCCUUCUGAUUAUUGUUCUUGAGGUUCGUUUUGGUUUCCGACGUUCGUUUCUCCUCGCAUGACAAUAUCCUUCUGAUUAUUGUUCUUGAGGUUCGUUUUGGUUUCCGACGUUCGUUUCUCCUCGCAUAACAAUAUCCUUCUGAUUAUUGUUCUUGAGGUUCGUUUUUGUUUCUGACAUUCGCUUCUCCUUGCAUGACAAUAUCCUUCUGAUUAUUGUUCUUGAAGUUCGUUUUUGUUUCCGACGUUCGUUUCUCCUCGCAUGACAAUAUCCUUCUGAUUAUUGUUCUUGAGGUUCGUUUUGGUUUCUGACGUUCGUUUCUCCUCGCAUGGCAAUAUCCUUCAAGCGCUCUCGUCCUAAUAACCAACGAAUUAACACCUUAGUCUUUUCCCUUUGUAAUUCUUCGGAGUCUGAUUUUCUGUUUGUUUUUUGGAAGCUAAUGUCAUAAGAAGGUUUGUUUUAGCGGGCCAAAUUCCUUCCUCCCCCUUCUUUUCUAUUUUCAAGAGAAGAAUGCAAGCAAGAGGUUCGUCCUAAUAACCCAAACUUCCUCCUCUACCUCUUCCUCUUCCUCUUCGGUGCCGCAACCCUCAACCCUUCCCGUCCCUUCCUCGCGGCGCCCAAGGUGAUCUAACACAACUAGGCCUUCUUACGGAGCCUCCUUACAUGCGUCGAGUUGAGAAACGAAUCACCCGUGAAGACAUAAAGGUAGUGUGUGUGUGUGUGUGUGUGUGUGUGUGUGUGUGCGCGAGUAGUGGCAAUACAGAGACAGUACACACAUGAAUACACACCAACGGGGGGUAGGGUGGAGGAGGGUGGUGAUGGGGGGGUGAAGAGAUAAUGGUGAUGGUCGGAGGGGUGGAGGGAGGGAGAUGAUGGGGGUGGUGAUAGGGAGGGAGGGACCGGCAACAAGGCAAGGGAAGCAGCGUUUCAACACCCACUUUUGUGCUCCCUUCAUUAACAUGGCAACAAAAGGGCUUGACGGAGGAGUGCCAUUGUGCGCGCCGAGCCUGAUAACAUUAUAUGCUAAGCCGCGGCGCGUCGGGGGUCGCCGCGCCGCGCCCGAGGAAAAACAAGAACACCGUCACUCUGUCCUGUCACCGCGCGCAGACGACAAUCACGGCGGCGGGUGAGUGACGCAGGUAAGGUAAGGUGUGUGUGUAUGUGUAUGUGUGUGUGUGUGUGUGUGUGUGUGUGUGUACUGAUAACAUUAAACCAGGUAAUACUAGUUGUCUGUCCCUCUCUGUCUGGUAGCACUCUCUCUCUCUCUCUCUCUCUCUCUCUCUGCCUGCCUACAUACAUGCUGUACGGCCAAUUAACCGUAAUUGGACCAUGAAGACCUCUCAACUUAAGUGUCUGAUCAUUAUGGAGUGAAUGGCGGAAGCGAAAAAUAAAGAGAAUCGCCUCAUCGCUGCCAACACUCACAUUAUUAUUGACGGACCGACAACAAAGCGACACAGACGAGAGAGAGAGAGAGAGAAUCGCCUACAUCACACACACACACACACACACACACACGCAGGGUAUCGUCAAAGGGCAUCUGUCAUCUCGUUUUGAAAGUCACACACACACACACACACACACACACACACACACACACACACACACAGACUUGCUUGCGUCACAUCGAUCGUAGCAAGACCUAACUAAAAAGAAAAGGGAAAAAAUAACUAAACUAAAUUAAUAAAACGAGGAAAUAAUAAUAAAAAAAAAACACUGAAUAAAAAACAAGCAAACAAAAACCUUCCAGUACCAAAAGAAAACAAAACCACUAGAAAAAACAAAUCAUACUCAAGAAAUAUUAAAAUGUCAUUACGAAAGAAAUAAAGAAGAAUAAAAAUAACAACAUCAUCCUCUGAACCCCAAUUAUAUACACUAAGGGAUUGAAGAAAAUAUGAAGCCUCAGGACGCCAAUUACUCCCGACUAACAACGCCCUUCUUGACGGGGUAAUGACGGGGCAAGGGGGGCAGGAGGGGGGCGGGGAGGGGCAGGGCAGGAGGUCUUUGUUAAGUCGUCUAAUGAACACAGCGAAGUACGUCGUCUCGCCAACACUAUUUGCCUUCCUCGACGCCCCCGCCACGCCCCGCCCUACCAGAGUACAAUUCCUGCCCCCCUCGACCCCCUACUUGAUUCCCGUUUCCCCCCCGGCCCGCCCCGCCCCGUCUGAGCUGUCCGUCACUAAUUCCUGCCCUUACGCCGUGAAGAACCGCUUGAUUCAGAUCCGUACUCCCAUACGCGUCAUGCCCGGCAAUAAACAUUUACGGAAGCAAUCUAACUAAUCCGCGUGUAGGUACGUGUUGUGCGCCGUGAAGGCUUGAGACUAUUACACACACACACACACACACACACACACAUACGCACAGCCGCCGAGCAAUUCCUCGCCGCGGUUUAAUUCAUGCUGGUAACGCUGCGCUGCCCCGCCCGCCGCCGCCAGGCAGCGUACUGUGUGCUACGCGGAACACUGAAACAAUUUACUCGUGAUUCAAUUAUUCCCAACGAGGAAGCGAGAACAGCUGGCCGCGCCGCACAGGAGCCGAGGGGUGGACUGCACAAAGGGGCCAAGGAGCCGCCGAGAGGGGCGUCCUGUAAGGCUGUAUGUGUUCCUGCAAGGCGAGGCGAGGCGAGGAAGGCUUCACAGAGCUGCCCGCCACGCCCUCGCCUGUGUCACGCUCGCGACGCCGCGACUCGGUGGCUUGCAAAAGUCAAGUUCCAGGUACAGAAUGGUUCACGUGUGUCUGUGGCUCCGUCCAUCGGGUGUGAUCUUUUUCCCUCCCCGUGGUGGAUGGAUGACUUCCGCUCCCUGGUUCCCUUCAGCGGCUCCACCCUGGUGUUGCGGGGGGCGGGGUUGUGGUGACGAGCUUGUGUGAUUAUGAUGGAUUACAUUUCAUCCACUAUUGUUAAGAAGCUCCCCCUUGGCGACCUUGUUAUUUGAGUGCAAUGCGUGUGAACGAAAAAAAAGAGCAUCGAGAGGAGAGUACGCCAAAAGCAGGUACUGGACAUGUUGUGUGACUAAAAAGAACAAGAAUUGAGGAAAAUAAACUGGUUGAUAGAAAUUGUGAAAGGGGACGAGGAAACCUUGACACGAUAUGCUUUUUUUUUUUUUUUUUUUUUUUUACAACAAAGGAGACGGCUCAAGGGCAACAAAAAGUGGAAAAAAUACAAAUAAAAGCCCGCUACUUGCCGCUCCCAUAACAGAUAAGAGUAAAGAAUCGCCAGAAGAGAGGUCAAUUUCGGGUGGAGAGGUGUCUUGAUACACUGGUUAUAGGGAGCGAAUAGAGUGGAGAAAAACGGUGAAAAAUAGUUUGAUUGACAUACAUAUAUUGAAAGCAGAUUAAGAAAGGUAGGAUACAGUAAGGAAAAGAAAGGUAAGUCAUGUGGAGUGAUCGGGUGGGAAAAGAUUAACGAAGAUUUUACUGAUAUAAGAAAAAUGGUAAAGAAAAGUAACUGAUUGAUUGAUUGAUACGAAUAUGAAAGGCUGACAGGGCAACACAAAAGACUCGAGACUAGGCAAAACAUAAACAAACAAGAAACCUAAACUGUGUGAGCCUCGAAAAAUGACUAGGAAAACGUGGAAACUGACGAGCGAGUGACUAGCGAGUGCGAAGGAUUAAAGCUGGGGAUGAAAAGUAUAUGUACACGUCUGCGAGUGCAUGACGAGGCUGGUAUUGCUUUAGAAGGCGUCGCGAGCUUAGCCGAACCCUGAAGGCAGCUUAGGAGGUUACUGAGGGUGCUGGUGACGAGGGGGGUUAUAAACGUCGAGCUAUGAGGUGAGUGCCAGGAAAUACUAACUGAAUGGCACGAUGUUUGGUUAUGCACUCUUUUGAUACUUCGCGACCUUUCUCAUCCACUAGUUUUAUCUUACGCUCUCGAGUCCUCUGUAUUUGUCGUUCAUUGUGUAGCGUGGUGAGUUAUUCAGACAAAACUUCCUUCAAUAUGAUCAUUAUAUACUCAUUUUUGCUUGGUAUUCACAGUUGGCUUUCUCCUCUUUUCCUUUUUUACUAAUACCAUAUUUUUCUUUUGUUAACUACUG